Brachypodium distachyon (stiff brome) is the source of this 2022-nucleotide long non-coding RNA. RefSeq lists it as uncharacterized. The record is from RefSeq and is a predicted model, not a curated record. The transcript has 4 exons. NCBI's taxonomy places the organism in Eukaryota, Viridiplantae, Streptophyta, Magnoliopsida, Poales, Poaceae.
UCUGAUCAUAUAUGUUUGCUGCGGGGAAAAGCCCCAGGGGCUAGACUGAUGUAGCACUUCAAAAGUGUUCCAAUUACCACUUUAGGAGUGAGUUCGGAGUUCUGGUUAGUACUUGAAACUUGGGUCAGUAACUUGUAUUGUCAGUAACUUGGGGCAGAGUUCUCUUCUCUAGAGGUCGGAGAAUCCUCCCGUUGCUGGAAGCCUGGAAGUGUCCACGUCGAUACGUCAAUGUUGUUGUGUCUUUCGUUUCUGUGUGGGUUGCGGGCCUGGUUGGGCCGUCGAUCUUGUUGCGUGCUGGGCCUUUGCUUUCGCUGGCGGCUAUCUUCGGGUGUGUUCUAGAAGGCUCCAUCUUGUUAUGCUAAAAGAAAAGGGCUCCACCGUGUGGCCGAUUGGGUGCUGGUGGGCGUGGUUCCGGGAAGUUGCUCGCUGUCGGCCCUCUCCCGUUCCACUCGUCUGAAGCCGCGACGACGGCGCCGCUCCCGCUCGAUCUGCCGUUGCUUGGUGCGCCCCGGAGCUGCCUCAUCUCCCGCGUGCCUUCGCUCGUAUCUGGAUACUUGUUCUCUAUGGGCUGCGCUGUCAUCUAGGGUUCUUUCUCGAUGGCGCACGGGUGACUCGAUCUCUUCUCGUUCGGCGCUGGCAUCUCCGGAUUCAUGUUCCUGACGGUUUGUUUUUUCUUAGGCGGGUUGAGCUUCUGUCGUCGAUGGGGUAUUUGAAUUUGCUGAUGAGCCACUCCCGUCCCUGCUGCUCCGUGGUUGCGCCGGUGCCGCUCGCCGUCCUGCUGCUGCGCUGCCACCCUUCCUGCUCCUGCCGAAUCCGGUCUCGGCCGUCCUGCCGAGGAGCCGAGCACGGGCAGGUGUGUGGCAUGAAAUUCAGCAAAGAUGCAAGGAAUCAAUUGAGUCAGCUUAUUAAAAAAAUAGCCAAAGGUCCAACAGAUCUGCAAUCAAGGAGGACGUAAGAAAUUGAGGAAAGCUUUUUUGUGUAGGAUAUGGUAAGUGGUAACUAGCUAUCUGAGAGAAUUCUGCAUCACAAUGGUUACCAUGCGGUGCAGGACAACUUGUGCAGGUAUCACCACGUGUAAUUAGUCUAUCUGUCGGAGUAAGUUAGUCACGAUGCUGAGCUCUAAAAGUAUGGAGUGUAAUAAGUAGUAGACACAAGAACUUCAAAUUCUUCGCAAUUGCAGACACUAUCUGAAUAUAAUGCAAACUAAUAAACACACACUUACCUGCAUAUGUUACAUUGCUGCAACAAUCUUAUGCUGGUUUUUUGCUGAAAAUAUUUGACAUGGAAAAAUAAUAAUGGAAAGUCGUCACUUCUUUUUCUUCAGAAAAAAAAACUGCUUGUCAAGGAACACCCAAUUUCAUUAUAUGUUGGGAACUACUUAUGGAGGAUUAAAUACGAAUACAAAUGCCUAAAUCAGUACUAACAUAUAGCACUGGAGCUUAACCUGUAGCACUGGCAGAGAACUUCUUGUACAACUCCUAGGCCUGACAACAACACACAAUUUUGGGAGGCGAAUUUGAACAUGCCAAGAGAAGAAGCAUUAAAGAAAAAAAAAGCGCCGCCUACCUUCGUCUCUCCGACCGGCUCAAGGACGGACUACAGGGAGAUAUUCGGCUGUUGUGAAUCUGGGGACUUCGCUGUGCCAUACGAGGACCUGUUCGCCCAGGGGUCGCGUCGGUGGCGGAGAUCCGCCUCCCCUCGUCCAACGGCAACUCCAGGUGCUGUUGCCGAAAAUCAUUCAGAGAAUCAGAGGUGUGGUUCUUGCAAUCUAGCUUUGGAGGUUGAUAAUGGAAGACCCGCUUAGACCUGGAUGAUGGUUGGCUUUGCUUCACCGAGCUUCUAGGGUUAGCUUUUGCAAGCUGCAAGCUGCAACAUGUGCUAUAUAUGUCGAACUUAAUAGAGUUAGCUGACGAUGGCGGUACGGUUGCUGGUGUUGAGAUAAUGAGAUUCGCUUCCUGUCAUUGUUUUUCACUAACUGCAAAGAUUUUAUGGUGAAGGAUUACGAGCACGUGUAUUUCGCCC